AAGUCGUAACAAGGUAACCGUAGGUGAACCUGCGGUUGGAUCAUUAAAAAGAUCUAGCCCGAUUUUGCACCUGGCCUUGAGCUGGUGGAAUGACAGGCUUUUCUCACGUACGUGAGUCAACAUCAUGUGAACUGUUUUGUCUCUGGCGGUGGGAUGGCUCAAAACCGUCUGUCAGCAUCCGAGGUAAUCUCGGUGUGCCGUGGACAAGCCGCCAACGGUGUAUGCUUCAUACAAACUUUUUGUUUCAUUAAGACUGUCUGACCUACUUUUGUAUCUAAAUAAUACAAAAACAACUUUUGGCAACGGAUCUCUUGGCUCCC
Molecule: unclassified non-coding RNA, 320 nt
Filed under: fungal sp.
Lineage: Eukaryota; Fungi
Description: partial internal transcribed spacer region
Rfam family: Eukaryotic small subunit ribosomal RNA (bases 1-46)
Source: RNAcentral